This 1795-nucleotide long non-coding RNA is filed under the name Cyanistes caeruleus (blue tit). Its description in RNAcentral is "lncRNA (ENSCCEG00000004692.1)". The record is from RNAcentral. Lineage: Eukaryota; Metazoa; Chordata; Aves; Passeriformes; Paridae.
CCCAGGUUCAGCCUUUUUAGUACCAUUAUCUUAUAAUUGCUGAUUGGCACAGGGUUCUGCUUGCUGUUCCCAAGGGGGGUCAGCAGUAUGUGUGGCUCAGUGGCAGGGACUCCUAGGCAGCGAUUUAUGCAGUGGUUUUGAUAGAUGGAAAAAAGCAGUAAGAAUUUAUUAGCCCAGUAUCAUUGUUGGGAGGCAGGAGGAGGGCUGGAGAAAACGAAUUCCCUUGCCAACAAAUGAAAAGAAUAAAACUGGAAUAAGAUGAGUGGCAAUUCAGAGACGAUAAUAUACUCUAGGAAAAAGAUUCUCCAAAUCAUUACACAGGUUAACUCUCCCCCACCUGCCCACCAGUCACAGGAUUCAAACAUCAGGCCUCAAAUUAUGCUGAGAAUAAAUGGAGAUAAACAGCAAACCCAAGGAGACAAAUAAGACGAACACCUUGAAAAGGAACCAGUAAGUGAAAUAGGAUGUGACAGGCUCAGGAAGAUGAGAGGGAAUGAUUUCCUGGAAUGCAGCAGCAAUUUCGUGCCAGCAGCGAUGCGCCAGCUGUACUUGACCUUCAGUAACCUUUAUCCCCGUCUCCUACUGCUGCUCCUACAGCUUCUCAGCCUGGUUCUCCUCCUCCACUCUGGUGGUGUUCCUGGGAAGAAGGUCCAUAGUCCACAUCCAGCUCCUCCAAAAGUCGUCUCCUCCUCUCAGGAGCAUCUUGCCUGUUUGGCUGGCAGAUCCACUGUUUGGAGAAAUGCAGCUGUCAGGGGAGGCUGUGAUCAGAGAAGGGGAAGGAGGUCUCUCAGGUAGAUGGGGCCAGUCCUGCAGCGCACUUCAAAUUUCAGGGUAGUGACCUUGAACUCGUCUCCACUCUGCAGGGAGCCCUGCACAGGAAGCCAGAGCGCUGGGGUGAAGUGUUUGCUGUGACCUGCACUGCUGAUCAGGUGAACUGUUAUGUAUAGCAACAUUUGGUAUUUUUGCAGGAUCCAUAACUUCGCUCCUAGAUCUUAUUUGAAAUGGUGGAACUGUCACAUGGUUUGUUAUUUCAUCAGACCUAAUAAUUUAUUAAAGGUAAAUGAAUGUUGUGGCUUUUCCCCUCCCUAAUUUAUUCUACCUUCACCUAAGCACAGGAACUUUUUGUAUGGCCUAUAGUAGAUUAAUUUCUUCCAGCUGGUGGGAAGUAAUUCAUUUAUACCAUCUAAAAUCCUAUUUUUAAGUAUCCUAGAGUAUUAGAGUUUAGUAAACCUGUAUGCUAGGGAAACAUCAUAUUAGGAGUACACCAAUGCCUGUCUCUGUUAAGAUGAAGUUAUUUUUUGAAAUACAGCUGGUGUGAGAGUGUUUUUCUGGUUUUGUUGUGAAACUCCAGUGUGCUCUCUCCAAAUUCAUUAUUGUUUUGUGCUCAAAUGAGGCCACAGGAUAAAGUUAGUCUCAUGGAUCCUGCCAAAGGUCCCCAAAAACCUGCAGCCUCACUGUGUAAAGUGCUGAUCUGGUACAAGCUCAUUCUGCUGCUCCUCUUCCUUCCAGCAUCAUUGAUGGGUUAACAUUACAUGGCAGAUUUUAGGCUGGAACAGAUGUCACCUUUUGUCUCCAAGCUGAUCUCAGCUCAAAAAUAUGCCACCAACUCUGUUCUGCAGGCUUUGAUGAGCUGCAUAAAAAAAAUAUUUACCUGGCCUAGUCUGGCUUGAAUUUUGCCUCCUGUGGGCUGCAGCAGAGCAGUGAUGUGACAUUAAUGACCAAGGGUGGUAGAGCAGCCUGGCUACUGGCAGGAGACUCACCAGCUGUGGUGCUGUGGCUUGCCUGACAGCACCAA